This 181-nucleotide microRNA precursor is filed under the name Puccinia graminis f. sp. tritici CRL 75-36-700-3. RNAcentral's name for it is "microRNA MIR807". Lineage: Eukaryota; Fungi; Basidiomycota; Pucciniomycetes; Pucciniales; Pucciniaceae. The record is from RNAcentral.
CACCUCAUCAAUCGGAAGGAAUUCCUUCCGGUCAAUGGGGUUGUUAUACCUCAUCGAUCUGAAGGAAAUCCUUCUGGUCGACAAGGUGUAACAACCUCAUUGACCGGAAGGGGAUUCCUUCCGGUCGAUGAGGUAUAACAACCUCAUCGACCGGAAAGGAUUCCUUCCGGUCGGUGAGGCG